This 274-nucleotide unclassified non-coding RNA is filed under the name uncultured fungus. RNAcentral describes it as "partial contains 5.8S ribosomal RNA, internal transcribed spacer 2, and large subunit ribosomal RNA". Lineage: Eukaryota; Fungi. The record is from RNAcentral.
AACGCACAUUGCGCCCGCCAGCAUUCUGGCGGGCAUGCCUGUUCGAGCGUCAUUUCAACCCUCGCAGCCCCUCUGGGCAGCGGUGUUGGGGACCGGCAGAACCGGCGCGCCCCCCGUGGCGCCCGGCGCCGCCCCCGAAAUACAGUGGCGGUCCCGCCGCAGCCUCCCCUGCGUAGUAGCACACCUCGCACCGGAGCGCGGCGCGGCCACGCCGUAAAACCCCCGACUCUCUGAGUUUGACCUCGAAUCAGGUAGGAAUACCCGCUGAACUUAA